RNAcentral lists this ribosomal RNA (1500 nucleotides) under Escherichia coli. Its description in RNAcentral is "bacterial LSU rRNA". It matches the Rfam family "Bacterial large subunit ribosomal RNA", at positions 1327 to 2812 of the family's 2925-position model. Lineage: Bacteria; Pseudomonadati; Pseudomonadota; Gammaproteobacteria; Enterobacterales; Enterobacteriaceae. The record is from RNAcentral.
AGCCCGCUCGCCGGAAGACCAAGGGUUCCUGUCCAACGUUAAUCGGGGCAGGGUGAGUCGACCCCUAAGGCGAGGCCGAAAGGCGUAGUCGAUGGGAAACAGGUUAAUAUUCCUGUACUUGGUGUUACUGCGAAGGGGGGACGGAGAAGGCUAUGUUGGCCGGGCGACGGUUGUCCCGGUUUAAGCGUGUAGGCUGGUUUUCCAGGCAAAUCCGGAAAAUCAAGGCUGAGGCGUGAUGACGAGGCACUACGGUGCUGAAGCAACAAAUGCCCUGCUUCCAGGAAAAGCCUCUAAGCAUCAGGUAACAUCAAAUCGUACCCCAAACCGACACAGGUGGUCAGGUAGAGAAUACCAAGGCGCUUGAGAGAACUCGGGUGAAGGAACUAGGCAAAAUGGUGCCGUAACUUCGGGAGAAGGCACGCUGAUAUGUAGGUGAGGUCCCUCGCGGAUGGAGCUGAAAUCAGUCGAAGAUACCAGCUGGCUGCAACUGUUUAUUAAAAACACAGCACUGUGCAAACACGAAAGUGGACGUAUACGGUGUGACGCCUGCCCGGUGCCGGAAGGUUAAUUGAUGGGGUCAGCGCAAGCGAAGCUCUUGAUCGAAGCCCCGGUAAACGGCGGCCGUAACUAUAACGGUCCUAAGGUAGCGAAAUUCCUUGUCGGGUAAGUUCCGACCUGCACGAAUGGCGUAAUGAUGGCCAGGCUGUCUCCACCCGAGACUCAGUGAAAUUGAACUCGCUGUGAAGAUGCAGUGUACCCGCGGCAAGACGGAAAGACCCCGUGAACCUUUACUAUAGCUUGACACUGAACAUUGAGCCUUGAUGUGUAGGAUAGGUGGGAGGCUUGGAAGUGUGGACGCCAGUCUGCAUGGAGCCGACCUUGAAAUACCACCCUUUAAUGUUUGAUGUUCUAACGUUGACCCGUAAUCCGGGUUGCGGACAGUGUCUGGUGGGUAGUUUGACUGGGGCGGUCUCCUCCUAAAGAGUAACGGAGGAGCACGAAGGUUGGCUAAUCCUGGUCGGACAUCAGGAGGUUAGUGCAAUGGCAUAAGCCAGCUUGACUGCGAGCGUGACGGCGCGAGCAGGUGCGAAAGCAGGUCAUAGUGAUCCGGUGGUUCUGAAUGGAAGGGCCAUCGCUCAACGGAUAAAAGGUACUCCGGGGAUAACAGGCUGAUACCGCCCAAGAGUUCAUAUCGACGGCGGUGUUUGGCACCUCGAUGUCGGCUCAUCACAUCCUGGGGCUGAAGUAGGUCCCAAGGGUAUGGCUGUUCGCCAUUUAAAGUGGUACGCGAGCUGGGUUUAGAACGUCGUGAGACAGUUCGGUCCCUAUCUGCCGUGGGCGCUGGAGAACUGAGGGGGGCUGCUCCUAGUACGAGAGGACCGGAGUGGACGCAUCACUGGUGUUCGGGUUGUCAUGCCAAUGGCACUGCCCGGUAGCUAAAUGCGGAAGAGAUAAGUGCUGAAAGCAUCUAAGCACGAAACUUGCCCCGAGAUGAGUUCU